AUACUUACCUGGCAGGGGAGAUACCGUGAUCACGAAGGUGGUUUUCCCAGGGCGAGGCUUAUGCAUUGCACUUCGGAUGUGCUGACCCCUGCGAUUUCCCCAAAUGUGGGAAACUCGACUGCAUAAUUUGUGGUAGUGGGGGACUGUGUUAGCGCUUUUCCCUG
Molecule: small nuclear RNA, 164 nt
Organism: Callithrix jacchus (white-tufted-ear marmoset)
Lineage: Eukaryota; Metazoa; Chordata; Mammalia; Primates; Cebidae
Gene: U1
Rfam family: U1 spliceosomal RNA
About the family: U1 is a small nuclear RNA (snRNA) component of the spliceosome (involved in pre-mRNA splicing). Its 5' end forms complementary base pairs with the 5' splice junction, thus defining the 5' donor site of an intron. There are significant differences in sequence and secondary structure between metazoan and yeast U1 snRNAs, the latter being much longer (568 nucleotides as compared to 164 nucleotides in human).
Source: Ensembl